GAUAAUAUUGUAUAUUCUUGAAACCGAGACGUGUGAGUUGUUAUUUGUUGGUCGGUUGCACAUUGAUAAUAAGUAAACGCACCAGUAACUUGGUGUUAUAAAACUUAUUGUUGUGUGUGAUUUGAUCAGUAAAUGCAAGCGAGCAUAUGAGUCGAAGUUUAUCCAUUCCUUUUACCCAAAGUAGGAUAAAACCGAUAUCUGUGGGCCUCUCAAUGAUUUAGUGAUGACACCUAAGCGCUNGGGCUAAGGAAUAAUCAUCAUGAUAGUGGGAGCAUAAGUGUUAUGCUUGUAUGAUUAUUAUGGCGAGUAUUGCAAGUUAGCAAUAUUAAUUAUAGAAAAACAAAGAUUCAAUUUGCAAAGUUGCAUGGGUUGAAAAGUUGUUUUAAUAUAAUUAAGGGAGAGAAUAUUAUACUUCGUUUCAAAAUCUAAAGCUUAGAUUGAGAAAUUUUAAUAGUUUCAGUCAUAGGAUACAUUGUGAGUUCCUAAAAAUUCGAUUAUGAUUACGACAUCCCUCUUCAUAGUUCGAAUUAUGAGAACAUGAAACAUAAAAUAUUAUGGCAAAAGAUUGGUAAAGUAUCAUAUCUUUAUGUGAGACCUUAUGCAUCGUGUCCCAUACACUUCGGGUAUAGGAUCGAUUGCGAAUGCUAUAAUAAUUUACCAUUCUAAAAUUUUUCCAAAUGUCUAGCGCAUUAAGAGGGAAAAAGGACUAGAAUUGGUUUUGACUAAAAUAAUUAAAACAACUAUCAAAGGACGAUCCAAAGUUCGCUGAGGAUUGGUCGCUUGUGAGUAGUUGGAAGUAUGGUAUUGGAUGGACCAUAUCAACAUUAUUAUGAAUAGAUAAGAUUCUAUUAAGAAUGAGUUGUCAUAUGGCAAAUGUGGAAAUGUUUCCAUAUUGGGAGUUGGAUAUUGAGAAUCUAUGUCUAGAUUAGAAACUUUUAUGCAAGAAGGAUGUUCAAAGGAAUGUACUUUGAAUGUGAGACUUCACGUCUAUAGAAUUGUCUUGUAACAAUUUCUAAGAAAGUACUUUGUAAUUUCAUUGGCAAAGUUUUGGUGACUUUUGUGCUAUGACUUUACGAAAGGAUCGUUGCGUAAAAAAAUGUUAGAAUCUAGCAUAUUCUAGUAGUGGCAAGAACCUUGUAUUCUUACACUAACAAUGGGGAUUAAGUAAUUGUGAAAUGAGCAUCAUUGAAAAGGUUUUUCAAUUGAUCCAUUUCACAAAGCAUGGACCAUAGGAAACAAAGUGUGCAUGCUUGGAGCAUGGGACAAUUGUUGUUGUAAUUCAAGUAAUAAGUUGAUUAUCCAAAACAUUAAAUGAUAAAUAAUGAGUAAUCAAUAUGGUGGAUAAAUAGAAGUGUUUUAUUUACUCUCACAAGUUUGGGGCCAUAUAGGAUUAAGUAUUAUUGUUAUGUUUCAGUUUGCAUGUUUUGACUUCCAGAAUAACUAGGUUAUUCAAACAUCCACAGUCGGUCAUACGUUGGGAGUAGGUAUGAAUAAAGACUGUCAUGAAUCUGUCUGUAGAUUGUCUGAAGUGUUUAGACAUAGCACAAGUUUGCUGCAGAGUUCAUGAGUGCUUUGAUAAGAUUAGAGUAUUGGAUUAAACCCACGCUCACUUGGAUCACUUCAUGGUUUUAUCACGAGUGAUUAGUGAGACGAUAAUAUUGUAUAUUCUUGAAACCGAGACGUGUGAGUUGUUAUUUGUUGGUCGGUUGCACAUUGAUAAUAAGUAAACGCACCAGUAACUUGGUGUUAUAAAACUUAUUGUUGUGUGUGAUUCGAUCAGUAAAUGCAAGCGAGCAUUUGAGUCGAAGUUUAUCCAUUCCUUUUACCCAAAGUGGGAUAAAAGCGAUAUAUGUGGGCCUCUCGAUGAUUUAGUGAUGACACCUAAGCGCUUGGCCAAGCCGGGACUAAGUUGAUGUGUUCAAUUGUAGUCUGUUAUCAGUCGUCAUAAAUCGGAAGUCGGGAAACAGUAUAGAGAGAAUGAUUGAAAUUCAUGUCUUUUGUCUAUACGAUAUCUUGAGAAUGGAGGAAUAUAUAAUCCCUUAUCUAGAGGACACGCUAUCUGAUAAGAUCAGAGUUGACAGCGGCUUUUGAAAGCUACGAUUGCUGAUCAGGUUCUGAAGUCAUACGGAAAAUAGUUAUUAGACUUAUCCAAGUGGGAGACUGUUGGAUUAGUGUCUAAGUCCAUAACUAUUUUGGUAUGUACUUGACCCGAUUAUGAGCAUGGUCCUUUUGGGUUGCCUUCAC
RNAcentral lists this long non-coding RNA (2244 nucleotides) under Lactuca sativa (garden lettuce). RNAcentral describes it as "long non-coding RNA (LSAT_LNC006846)". The record is from RNAcentral. Lineage: Eukaryota; Viridiplantae; Streptophyta; Magnoliopsida; Asterales; Asteraceae.